This is a non-coding RNA of Pelobates cultripes (western spadefoot toad), 211 nucleotides long. NCBI's taxonomy places the organism in Eukaryota, Metazoa, Chordata, Amphibia, Anura, Pelobatidae. The record is from the annotation of a GenBank genome assembly.
CUUAUUCUCACUUCCUGACACAGUGUCACUUUUCUCUCUUUGCGCAUGUGACCCAGCCUAAAACACAGGUCUAUCAAGUAUCCUGUAAGACCUCAAUAUCCUCCAUAUAUCUUCUUCUGCCACAUAGAAAGCGAGAUUUCUUAUCAGGAGCACAUUACAUUUGAGGAUAUGUGGUGAUAGAAUAAUGUGUGUAUAUGUAUUUCUGAAGGGG